Long non-coding RNA from Mauremys mutica (yellowpond turtle), 613 nucleotides. RefSeq lists it as uncharacterized. NCBI's taxonomy places the organism in Eukaryota, Metazoa, Chordata, Testudines, Geoemydidae. The transcript is spliced from 3 exons. The record is from RefSeq and is a predicted model, not a curated record.
AGAGGGUCGUGCUGGCGGUGAGCCGGGAUUUCCCGUCGCGGUGGCGUUAACCCUGAGCCAACCCUGGUCCCGUUGGGAGGGCCCUAGGUCACGGCAGGUGGAACAGACCAGAUUGAGAUGCUUCCGCACCAGAUCUGGGGACUGGUUUCUUAUCAACCAGUUGUCGAGGAGUCUGACCUGGAAGCCCCCAGGACCUGGACUGUGGCAGAGGAGGCGAGAGUGGAGGAUAGAAGGCUUCCUAAACUGCUGAGGGAUAUGCCGGCUCAAGGAGCGGAGGGUGGCUUGGGAGUCCUUAAGCCCAUGGAGCCUUGAGUCAGUUAGCUUGAAAAAGAGCCCUGUACUCUCGAAGGGGAGGUUCUGGAUUGUGGCCUGCAUUUCAGGGGACAGCCCAGAAGCCUGCAACCACGAGCUAUACCUCAUGGCCACUGCUGACGCAACCUGGCUGUCAAGUCCGUAGCAUCCCAGGCCAUCUGGAGGACUCCCCUGGCCACUGCUGUGCCUUCGCUCACUAACGCUGUGAACUCUUUGGCAUGAUCCCGUGAAAUGAUUAAAGGAGUCCCACAGAUUGAAGGUAUAACGUCCCAACAGGGCCUGGUAAUUAGACACUCCGAAC